GUUCUCUUAGCUCAGGGGCAGAGCGGGCGACUCCAGUUUAAAUCGGAAUUAUAUCGUCAGGUCGGCGGUUCAAUUCCGUCAGGGGACU
This is a non-coding RNA of Rhodotorula graminis WP1, 88 nucleotides long. NCBI's taxonomy places the organism in Eukaryota, Fungi, Basidiomycota, Microbotryomycetes, Sporidiobolales, Sporidiobolaceae. The record is from the annotation of a RefSeq genome assembly.